RNAcentral lists this non-coding RNA (95 nucleotides) under Aeromicrobium sp. Root472D3. Its description in RNAcentral is "TPP riboswitch aptamer (THI element)". It matches the Rfam family "TPP riboswitch aptamer (THI element)". From Rfam's summary of the family: Vitamin B(1) in its active form thiamin pyrophosphate (TPP) is an essential coenzyme that is synthesised by coupling of pyrimidine and thiazole moieties in bacteria. The previously detected thiamin-regulatory element, thi box was extended, resulting in a new, highly conserved RNA secondary structure, the THI element, which is widely distributed in eubacteria and also occurs in some archaea. Analysis of operon structures identified a large number of new candidate thiamin-regulated genes, mostly transporters, in various prokaryotic organisms. The record is from Rfam by way of RNAcentral. Lineage: Bacteria; Bacillati; Actinomycetota; Actinomycetes; Propionibacteriales; Nocardioidaceae. RNAcentral also lists the same sequence under 1 other name.
GGCACACGGCCGGGGUGCCCCACGAGGGGCUGAGAUGAGACCCGACGAACCUGAUCCGGUUAGCACCGGCGCUAGGGAGCUGUCAUGAGUAGUCC